Molecule: transfer RNA, 68 nt
Filed under: Fusinus longicaudus
Lineage: Eukaryota; Metazoa; Mollusca; Gastropoda; Neogastropoda; Fasciolariidae
Description: tRNA-Val
Rfam family: tRNA
About the family: Transfer RNA (tRNA) molecules are approximately 80 nucleotides in length.
Source: RNAcentral
AAAGAUAUAGUAUAAAUUAAUACAUUUCACUUACACUGAAAAUAUACUUUCCUUAUAAGUUAUCUUUA